RNAcentral lists this ribosomal RNA (962 nucleotides) under Alexandrium ostenfeldii. Its description in RNAcentral is "partial large subunit ribosomal RNA". It matches the Rfam family "Eukaryotic large subunit ribosomal RNA", at positions 23 to 944 of the family's 3401-position model. Lineage: Eukaryota; Dinophyceae; Gonyaulacales; Pyrocystaceae. The record is from RNAcentral.
AUGUAAACCUGCUGAAUUUAAGCAUAUAAGUAGGCGGUGGAAAAUGAACCAAAUGGGAUUCCUUAAGUAAUUGCGAAUGAACAAGGAACUGCUCAGCUUGAAAAUUGGGGCCUUCGGCCUUGAAUUGUAAUUUUGAAAUGUAUUGCCAAUGGAGGCGCAGGUGCAAGCCUAUUGAAAGAAAGCGUCAAUGAGGGUGAGAUUCCUUUUUGUCAUUUGCAGUCCUCCGUGCACGGUAUAUAUUUGACGAGUCACACUCCUUGGCAUUGGAAUGCAAAGUGGGUGGUAAAUUCCAUGUAAAGGAAAAUAUAUUAUUGAGACUGAUAGCAAACAAGUACCAUGAGGGAAAUAUGAAAAGGACUUUGAAAAGAGAAUUAAAAGAGUCUGCAUUUGCUGAACAGAAAGCAAACAGAAUUGAUCUACUUGGUGAGAUUGUUGCGUCCACUUGUGGGCGCAAUGGUUCUUGCCUUGAAUGUCAGCGUCUACUUCUGCAAAUUAUUACCCUUGCAUAUGAAUGGUAAUUUGCCUGUGGGCAUUGGAAUGCAUGUGUUUGCAAUGAUUUGUGAUUUGAUACAUGUGUCUGGUGUUCGUGUGUGUGCCUUCUUGCCAACAAGGGGAGGGCUCUCCUCCCUGGGCACUGCAAGCCCUUGCACAUUGUUGCUGGCAAAAUGUUUCUGCUUGACCCGUCUUGUAACACGGACCAAGGAGUCUAACAGAUGUGCAAGUUCGUGGGUGGGCAAACCUUUUUGCGUAAUGAAAGUAUUGGCUGGGAUACUUGCACCAGCAGCCGACCGAUUAGCAGACAGAGGUUUGAGUUUGAGCAUAUCUAUUAGGACCCGAAAGAUGGUGAACUAUGCCUGAACAGAACGAAUUCAGAGGAAACUCUGAUGGAGGUUCGUAUCGAUACUGACGUGCAAAUCGUUCGUCAUACUUGGGUAUAGGGGCGAAAGACUAAUCGAACCAUC